GAAUGAAGAACGUAGCGAAAUGCGAUAAGUAAUGUGAAUUGCAGAAUUCAGUGAAUCAUCGAAUCUUUGAACGCACAUUGCGCCCCUUGGUAUUCCGAGGGGCAUGCCUGUUCGAGCGUCAUUAUAACCCCUCAAGCUCAGCUUGGUGUUGGGGCCUGCUGCACUGGCAGCCCUUAAAAUCAGUGGCGGCGCCAUCUGGCUCUAAGCGUAGUAAUUCUUCUCGCUAUGGAGUCCUGGUGGAUGCUUGCCAUCAACCCCCAAUUUUUCUAUGGUUGACCUCGGAUCAGGUAGGGAUACCCGCUGAACUUAAGCAUAUCAAUAAGCGGAGGA
This 330-nucleotide unclassified non-coding RNA is filed under the name soil metagenome. RNAcentral describes it as "partial contains 5.8S ribosomal RNA, internal transcribed spacer 2, and large subunit ribosomal RNA". The stretch from base 3 to 121 matches the Rfam family "5.8S ribosomal RNA", at positions 36 to 154 of the family's 154-position model. The record is from RNAcentral.